GAAACUGCACAGCAGCUGGAUAAGCAUGUGCCGGGAGUGGUGAGGGAGGCGUGGGGGACUGCUGAGAAGGUCCCUGAGGUGGCCCGGUCUGUGGCUGGGGAGGUGAAGCGCGCUGGCGUGGUGGGGACUGCAACUGGUGCAGUGAAGGCGGCAUACGAGACCUUCUCGCCGGUGGCAAGGGACUUGUAUGUGCAGUAUGAACCGGUGGCGGAGGAGUACGCAGUGUCGGCGUGGAGGGCGCUGAAUCGGCUUCCUCUGUUCCCGCAGGUGGCGCAGAUUG
This 280-nucleotide unclassified non-coding RNA is filed under the name Hevea brasiliensis (rubber tree). The record is from RNAcentral. Lineage: Eukaryota; Viridiplantae; Streptophyta; Magnoliopsida; Malpighiales; Euphorbiaceae.